Molecule: ribosomal RNA, 88 nt
Filed under: Mantoniella antarctica
Lineage: Eukaryota; Viridiplantae; Chlorophyta; Mamiellophyceae; Mamiellales; Mamiellaceae
Description: partial Bacterial small subunit ribosomal RNA
Source: RNAcentral
AGCAGUGAUGUCUCUUGUAGAAGCAGCUCCGGCAAAUAUCUGUGCCGGCAGCUGCGGUCAUAUCGAAGGAGCGAGUGUUAUUCAGCGU